This 252-nucleotide ribosomal RNA is filed under the name uncultured bacterium. RNAcentral describes it as "partial 16S ribosomal RNA". It matches the Rfam family "Bacterial small subunit ribosomal RNA", at positions 524 to 775 of the family's 1533-position model. The record is from RNAcentral.
UACGGAGGGUGCAAGCGUUGUCCGGAUUUAUUGGGUUUAAAGGGUGCGUAGGCGGCCCUGUAAGUCAGUGGUGAAAUACUGCAGCUUAACUGUAGCAUUGCCAUUGAUACUGUAGGGCUUGAGUACAGAUGAGGUAGGCGGAAUUGAUGGUGUAGCGGUGAAAUGCAUAGAUACCAUCAAGAACACCGAUUGCGAAGGCAGCUUACUAAGCUGUAACUGACGCUGAGGCACGAAAGCGUGGGGAUCGAACAG